This is a small nucleolar RNA of Caenorhabditis elegans, 287 nucleotides long. The record is from Ensembl. Lineage: Eukaryota; Metazoa; Nematoda; Chromadorea; Rhabditida; Rhabditidae.
UACAGCUACUCUCAAACAUAAGAAGGCGAUGACUAUUUGCAUACCCUUUUGUUGUUUUUGUGUAGGUCGUCUGCGUCUCUUACUAUCUCCUAUAUUUCAACACUUGUCUAGACUUUCCACAAGAUUUGGGUCCAUUUUUAUUAGACUGGGGGUUGUGAGAACAAGGUCUCUAUCCUCGUAUCUAGUUAAUCGGUCUAUUUUGAAUAAAUUUGCCGAUUCAAAGAAAGGAAAAAUCCGGAAGGCGAAAAAGCGCGAAGUGCACUUUAAAUGCACUUUCUCAGUGAAAU